AAUAGUAUGGAAGAAUUUUGAUGCAUCUUGGAGCAAUGGCAACAUAUUUGGGAGUUGUGAGUGACAACGAGCAGAUUACAUAACAAUGGGAGGAUAACAAGGGCCUUAACUGAAAAAACUGGUGAAUGUUCCCAAAUAAACCUCACAGAUGUAGAAGAAACACAAAAUAAAUUUGUUUAUUUAUUUUAUUUCUGUUCCCUACUAAACUAGUAAUAAAACAUACUUUUUACAAAUA
Long non-coding RNA from Pectinophora gossypiella (pink bollworm), 235 nucleotides. RefSeq lists it as uncharacterized. The record is from RefSeq and is a predicted model, not a curated record. Lineage: Eukaryota; Metazoa; Arthropoda; Insecta; Lepidoptera; Gelechiidae. The transcript is spliced from 2 exons.